This 261-nucleotide signal recognition particle RNA is filed under the name Deltaproteobacteria bacterium. RNAcentral describes it as "signal recognition particle sRNA large type". It matches the Rfam family "Bacterial large signal recognition particle RNA". From Rfam's summary of the family: The signal recognition particle (SRP) is a universally conserved ribonucleoprotein involved in the co-translational targeting of proteins to membranes. Lineage: Bacteria; Pseudomonadati; Myxococcota; Myxococcia. The record is from RNAcentral.
UCGUGCUAGGCGGGGAGCUAGCGGUGCCCCAUGACCCGAAAUCCGCUCAUGCGGGGUCGAACGUCCUUCGGAGAACCCUGAUUCGGGAUGUCUCAAACCAUUCGAGGGAAGGAGAUGGACCUCACGUGACAGACACUUAUGAACCCCGUCAGGUCCGGGAGGAAGCAGCGGUAAAUAAGAAAGUUUGUGUCGUGAUGAAAUCUAUCUCUGAUCUCCCGGUGGGGCGGAUGUGCCGUUCCUGGUUUGAAGAGGGAUGCACGG